AAACAUUCAAAAGUCAUUUAAAACGUAAAUAUUUAAACAAGUAGUGUAGUCUGUCUGAACAUUGUACACAAAUAGACAUUAAACAAAAUAUAUCAAUAUGCUCCUCUAACUGUUGCAUGUCAAAACAUGCUGGAUUGAACUGGAAAAACGAUAUGGUUAAAGAACAAUGGGACAGCUUUAGUGGGUGUAUGUCUGUAGCCUAAGAAUCUGAUGGUUUGGUACAGUACAUCUGUAAUUGUUGCCAUGUACUAAUGCUCACCACAUUAUUGUAACCAAAUAACUGCAUCUUAUAUCAGUGCCUGUUUGGUUUUUUUAAAUUGGUUUUUUACAUUUAAAAAAAAAAAGUCCCUCUAAUGCAAGUUGUAACCAGACUGUCCAAGUGUGUGUUUAUAAAAGUUUGUAAUGAGCGAGUGAAUGACUGAGAAAGUGACUGAGUGAAUGACAAUCACUACGAGUAACAGCUAAAUAGUUUUGUUUUGGAUAUAAAUAGCUUGACUCAACCAGUGAAUACUGAACUGUGUUACUAUUGAACAUACUGUAUGUUUGUAUGCUAAGUCCUUCAUAUAUUUUAAGUUAACAUCUUUUAUCAUUUUUCUUUCCUCUUAGGCUCAAGUUUAAUUUUAUUAGCUUAAAUACCCGAGGGUUCCCCCGGCGCUACCGCUCCAGUAACUGGUUACCUCAUCUGGAGUGGAGACUGGCCUUUAACUGGAAACUUUUUUAUUGGACUAAAUCACCUCACUCACUGGGAAGCAGCUAUUGUAUUGGAUCAAAUUGACUGAGUGACAUUGCCUCUUGUACAACAAUCAGAGGUAUGUUUGAAAUUUGAUUUUCUCUGCAUCAGGAGUAGUAUAUCUGUAUUGAAUUAUUCAAGAAUAUGUAGACUUGGUGCUUUUUAUGUACUGAGCUAUUAGAAUCAUUAUGGUUCACAUGUGGUAUGUGUUGUCAGGAUGGCCGAGUGGUCUAAGGCGCCAGACUCAAGGCUCCUCUCCUUCCUAAGCAAAGGGACUUCUGGUCUCCUAAUGGAGGCGUGGGUUCAAAUCCCACUCCUGACACAGAUUUCAUGCCUUUAGCUUUACAAGAUAGAAAGCUGCCUUUCUUCAGCGGUGAAAAGCUUCUCCUUAUCCGUGUGUGACCAGAAGGAUAACUUUUUGGGAGAUAUAAUCAUUUAGUGUCUUAAACUCUUCUAUACUAUACAAAUUUGGGCUGUCCAGAAGAAGUUUGACAAUUAUGGGAGAAAGCUGCUGAAAUCCUACAUCGUUGAUCCAAAUUACUGCUUCUAGCUAAUCUAGCAGUCCACACUGACUGUGGUUGACUACAAGACAGUUGUCAGGAUGGCCGAGUGGUCUAAGGCGCCAGACUUAAGUCUCUAAAGCUUACUGAGUAUACUGAGCAAAAGGCUUCUGGUCUCCAAAUGGAGGCGUGGGUUCAAAUCCCACUUCUGACAAAGAUUUAAGGACUGAAGCUUGAUAAUACAGUAAUGGAAAGCUCUUUCUUACCAGAAGCUUCUUUAAUUGAACAGUCUGUUGCAUCGUGGAAUAAUAUUA
Molecule: long non-coding RNA, 1544 nt
Organism: Thunnus maccoyii (southern bluefin tuna)
Lineage: Eukaryota; Metazoa; Chordata; Actinopteri; Scombriformes; Scombridae
Exons: 3
Source: RefSeq, a predicted model, not a curated record